AGUCGAACGGAAAGGCCUGCAGCCUGCUGCGGGUACUCGAGUGGCGAACGGGUGAGUAACACGUGGGUGAUCUGCCUUGCACUUCGGGAUAAGCUUGGGAAACUGGGUCUAAUACCGGAUAGGACAGCUGUUUAGUGUCAGUUGUGGAAAGUUUUUUCGGUGCAAGAUGAGCUCGCGGCCUAUCAGCUUGUUGGUGGGGUAAUGGCCUACCAAGGCGUCGACGGGUAGCCGGCCUGAGAGGGUGUACGGCCACAUUGGGACUGAGAUACGGCCCAGACUCCUACGGGAGGCAGCAGUGGGGAAUAUUGCACAAUGGGCGGAAGCCUGAUGCAGCGACGCCGCGUGGGGGAUGAAGGCCUUCGGGUUGUAAACUCCUUUCGACAGGGACGAAGCGUAAGUGACGGUACCUGUAUAAGAAGCACCGGCUAACUACGUGCCAGCAGCCGCGGUAAUACGUAGGGUGCGAGCGUUGUCCGGAAUUACUGGGCGUAAAGAGCUCGUAGGUGGUUUGUCGCGUCGUCUGUGAAAUUCCGGGGCUUAACUCCGGGCGUGCAGGCGAUACGGGCUGACUUGAGUGCUGUAGGGGAGACUGGAAUUCCUGGUGUAGCGGUGAAAUGCGCAGAUAUCAGGAGGAACACCGAUGGCGAAGGCAGGUCUCUGGGCAGUAACUGACCGCUGAGGAGCGAAAGCAUGGGUAGCGAACAGGAUUAGAUACCCUGGUAGUCCAUGCCGUAAACGGUGGGCGCUAGGUGUAGGGGGCUUCCACGUCUUCUGUGCCGUAGCUAACGCAUUAAGCGCCCCGCCUGGGGAGUACGCCGCAAGG
This 823-nucleotide ribosomal RNA is filed under the name uncultured Actinomycetes bacterium. Its description in RNAcentral is "bacterial SSU rRNA". It matches the Rfam family "Bacterial small subunit ribosomal RNA", at positions 60 to 893 of the family's 1533-position model. The record is from RNAcentral. Lineage: Bacteria; Bacillati; Actinomycetota; Actinomycetes.